UGGGUUUGACAUACACCGGAAAGCUGCAGAGAUGUGGCCCCUUUUUGUCGGUGUACAGGUGGUGCAUGGCUGUCGUCAGCUCGUGUCGUGAGAUGUUGGGUUAAGUCCCGCAACGAGCGCAACCCUUGUCCUGUGUUGCCAGCGCGUAAUGGCGGGGACUCGCAGGAGACUGCCGGGGUCAACUCGGAGGAAGGUGGGGAUGACGUUCCAAGGUUGGUU
RNAcentral lists this unclassified non-coding RNA (219 nucleotides) under uncultured Actinomycetes bacterium. RNAcentral describes it as "uncultured actinobacterium contains 16S-23S intergenic spacer region". It matches the Rfam family "Bacterial small subunit ribosomal RNA", at positions 976 to 1195 of the family's 1533-position model. Lineage: Bacteria; Bacillati; Actinomycetota; Actinomycetes. The record is from RNAcentral.